CGGGUGAGUAACACGUGGAUAACCUACCUAUAAGACUGGGAUAACUUCGGGAAACCGGAGCUAAUACCGGAUAAUAUUUUGAACCGCAUGGUUCAAAAGUGAAAGACGGUCUUGCUGUCACUUAUAGAUGGAUCCGCGCUGCAUUAGCUAGUUGGUAAGGUAACGGCUUACCAAGGCAACGAUGCAUAGCCGACCUGAGAGGGUGAUCGGCCAUACUGGAACUGAGACACGGUCCAG
This 237-nucleotide ribosomal RNA is filed under the name uncultured Staphylococcus sp. RNAcentral's name for it is "partial 16S ribosomal RNA". It matches the Rfam family "Bacterial small subunit ribosomal RNA", at positions 103 to 334 of the family's 1533-position model. Lineage: Bacteria; Bacillati; Bacillota; Bacilli; Caryophanales; Staphylococcaceae. The record is from RNAcentral.